RNAcentral lists this ribosomal RNA (250 nucleotides) under uncultured archaeon. RNAcentral describes it as "partial 16S ribosomal RNA". It matches the Rfam family "Archaeal small subunit ribosomal RNA", at positions 455 to 701 of the family's 1478-position model. The record is from RNAcentral.
GUGCCAGCAGCCGCGGUAACACCGGCGGCCCGAGUGGUGAUCGUGAUUAUUGGGUCUAAAGGGUCCGUAGCCGGUUUGGUCAGUCCUCCGGGAAAUCUGAUAGCUCAACUAUUAGGCUUUCGGGGGAUACUGCCAGACUUGGAACCGGGAGAGGUAAGAGGUACUACAGGGGUAGGAGUGAAAUCUUGUAAUCCCUGUGGGACCACCUGUGGCGAAGGCGUCUUACCAGAACGGGUUCCAAGAUCGCCAG